RNAcentral lists this ribosomal RNA (254 nucleotides) under uncultured bacterium. RNAcentral's name for it is "partial 16S ribosomal RNA". It matches the Rfam family "Bacterial small subunit ribosomal RNA", at positions 524 to 776 of the family's 1533-position model. The record is from RNAcentral.
UACGUAGGGGGCAAGCGUUGUCCGGAUUUAUUGGGCGUAAAGAGCUCGUAGGCGGCUUUGUCAGUCGGGUGUGAAACCUCCAGGCUCAACCUGGAGCCGCCACCCGAUACUGCAAUAGCUAGAGUCCGGUAGGGGAGCAUGGAACUCCUGGUGUAGCGGUGAAAUGCGCAGAUAUCAGGAAGAACACCAGUGGCGAAGGCGGUGCUCUGGGCCGGAACUGACGCUGAGGAGCGAAAGCGUGGGGAGCAAACAGG